UGAAUGCAUAACUAAAUCAAUAAUGUGCUUCUUUAUCAGGCUUCUGACUUUACCAAAGAAUUGAAACGAUACAUACAAUAUAGUGCUGGCACAAGUUCUGGUGGCUGGUUCUGGCCACUUGUGAAGAGUGUGAAAAUCAAGAUACCAAACUGUUGUGAACUCCUGGAACACAUUGUGCUUCUUGAUCUUCCUGGGACUGGAGACUGCAACAAUAUUAGAGAUGACUUGUGGAAAUCUAAACUAAGAGACUGCUCUUCAGUAUGGAUUUUAAGUGAUAUCAAUCGUGCUGUCAACAACAAAAAUACCUGGGAGAUAUUAAAGUACUGCUCUAAAGACAUGACACAUGCAGGGGAAUGCAGAGAUAUUCACUUUAUCUGCACCAAGAGUGACAAUAUUGAGCCAGAAGAAUAUAAUAGUACUCUGGAAGUCAAAAUACCAGAAGACGAGGAUCUGACAACAAAUUGCAUACUUCACAGAAACAAACAGGCUAAGAAGACUGUGUUAAAAACCUUUGAAAAUUCAGAUAUCAAGAAAGAGAUGGAUCUACAGGUUUUUACUGUAAGCUCCAAGGCAUUUUUUGAACAUAGGUUAGGCCUGAAACAGGAUGAAACAGAAAUUCCAAAGCUGCAAGAUGUUCUGAAGAAAAUGAAUGAGAGAAUUAACCAGG
This 667-nucleotide long non-coding RNA is filed under the name Sinocyclocheilus anshuiensis. Its description in RNAcentral is "lncRNA (ENSSANG00000011207.1)". The record is from RNAcentral. Lineage: Eukaryota; Metazoa; Chordata; Actinopteri; Cypriniformes; Cyprinidae.